Long non-coding RNA from Schistocerca serialis cubense, 188 nucleotides. RefSeq lists it as uncharacterized. The transcript is spliced from 2 exons. The record is from RefSeq and is a predicted model, not a curated record. Lineage: Eukaryota; Metazoa; Arthropoda; Insecta; Orthoptera; Acrididae.
CCCCUGCCUUACUGCUACACCGGGUCUGAAGAAGAUAUAUAGUGUAUUACAGGAUCAUUAUACCAGCAGAAGUCAGCGAUAUUUGAUCCUGCUCUGGUCUGUGUGCUGAGGCCGGAGGGGCUUCAGAAUAAUUAAAUUUUAAAAUAAAACAAUUUUAAACACUUUGAAAAUAAAAUUUUUUAAACAUA